AUUGAACGCUGGCGGCAUGCUUUACACAUGCAAGUCGAACGGCAGCACGGGCUUCGGCCUGGUGGCGAGUGGCGAACGGGUGAGUAAUAUAUCGGAACGUACCCAGAAGUGGGGGAUAACGUAGCGAAAGUUACGCUAAUACCGCAUACGAUCUAUGGAUGAAAGCAGGGGACCGCAAGGCCUUGUGCUCCUGGAGCGGCCGAUAUCUGAUUAGCUAGUUGGUGAGGUAAAGGCUCACCAAGGCGACGAUCAGUAGCUGGUCUGAGAGGACGACCAGCCACACUGGAACUGAGACACGGUCCAGACUCCUACGGGAGGCAGCAGUGGGGAAUUUUGGACAAUGGGCGCAAGCCUGAUCCAGCAAUGCCGCGUGAGUGAAGAAGGCCUUCGGGUUGUAAAGCUCUUUUGUCAGGGAAGAAACGGUAGAGGCUAAUAUCCUUUGCUAAUGACGGUACCUGAAGAAUAAGCACCGGCUAACUAUG
Molecule: ribosomal RNA, 482 nt
Filed under: uncultured bacterium
Lineage: Bacteria
Description: partial 16S ribosomal RNA
Rfam family: Bacterial small subunit ribosomal RNA
Source: RNAcentral